RNAcentral lists this ribosomal RNA (1494 nucleotides) under Gobiosoma chiquita (Sonora goby). RNAcentral's name for it is "partial 16S ribosomal RNA". It matches the Rfam family "Bacterial large subunit ribosomal RNA", at positions 371 to 2597 of the family's 2925-position model. The record is from RNAcentral. Lineage: Eukaryota; Metazoa; Chordata; Actinopteri; Gobiiformes; Gobiidae.
UCCCCAACAGCUAGCCCGCCCCUCAAUAACAACAACCCCUAUCAAUAACCCCAAAGGAAGGAAACAACCAAAACCAAAUCAUUUUUCCCCUACAGUAUGGGAGACAGAACCAGGCCAUUAUGGAGCUAUAGAAAAAGUACCGCAAGGGAACGCUGAAAGAGAAAUGAAAUAACCCAGUCAAGGAAUAAAAAGCAGAGCCGAGCCCUCGUACCUUUUGCAUCAUGACUUAGCAAGUACACGCAAGCAAAGAGCCCUUUACGUUUGUGCCCCCGAAACUGAGCGAGCUACUCCAAGGCAGCCUAUUAGGGCGAACCCGUCUCUGUGGCAAAAGAGUGGGACGAACUUUGAGUAGAGGUGACAGACCUACCGAGCCCAGUUAUAGCUGGUUACCUGAGAAUUGAAUAGAAGUUCAACCUUUUGCCUGCUCCAACCCACACCAAAGACCCCUUAUCCCCAGGACAACAGCACGCCAAAAGAGCUAUUCGAGGGAGGGACAGCUCCCUCGAACAAAGAUACAACUUUUUUAGGAGGAUAAAGACUAAAGGAAAGAAGGCUUACACCAAGGUGGGCCUAAAAGCAGCCACCCUAGAAGAAAGCGUUAAAGCUCAAGUCAGCACUCCCUGUAAUACCUGCAAACCACUCUUACUCCCCUUACAAUAUCAGGUCCUUCUAUGCCAACAUGGAAGAGAAACUGCUAACAUGAGUAACAAGAAAGCUAACCCCUUUCUCCCCAGCCCUAGUGUACCCGGAACAAACCCUGACCGAAAAUUAACGGCCCCAACAGAGGGGAAUGGGCCACCCGCCUCGCUGGACAAGAUGCGCCCCCUACUACAACCGUUAACCCCACACUGGUGUGCCAGAGGAAAGAUGCAAGGGAAAAGAAGGAACUCGGCAAACCCUAGCCUCGCCUGUUUACCAAAAACAUCGCCUCCUGCCCCACUAGUAUAGGAGGUCCCGCCUGCCCUGUGACAUAAGUUUAACGGCCGCGGUAUUUUGACCGUGCGAAGGUAGCGUAAUCACUUGUCUUUUAAAUGAAGACCUGUAUGAAUGGCACAACGAGGGCUAAGCUGUCUCCUUUCCCCCAUCAGUGAAAUUGAUUUGUCCGUGCAGAAGCGGACAUGCCCACAUAAGACGAGAAGACCCUAUGGAGCUUCAGACAUAAGGGCAGCCCAAGUUAAGCACCCCACCUUACAGGGAUCAAACCCAGUGGCCCCUGUCCCGAUGUCUUUGGUUGGGGCGACCACGGGGAAACAAAAAACCCCCGAGCGGAACGGGCCACACCCCUAAGACCAGAGCUACAGCUCUAACAACCAGAACUUCUGACCACCAAGAUCCGGCAGUGCCGAUCAACGGACCGAGUUACCCUAGGGAUAACAGCGCAAUCCUCUUUUAGAGCCCAUAUCGACAAGGGGGUUUACGACCUCGAUGUUGGAUCAGGACAUCCUAAUGGUGCAGCCGCUAUUAAGGGUUCGUUUGUUCAACGAUUAAAGUCCU